Long non-coding RNA from Pseudophryne corroboree (corroboree frog), 551 nucleotides. RefSeq lists it as uncharacterized. The record is from RefSeq and is a predicted model, not a curated record. NCBI's taxonomy places the organism in Eukaryota, Metazoa, Chordata, Amphibia, Anura, Myobatrachidae. The transcript has 2 exons.
CUGGCAGGAAGCAGGAAAAACUGCCUCCCAUAGGUCACAUCACUGUGACAGACAGACAGCAGCAGGUGCCCGCAGCCCAACCGCUGUCCCUACAGACAGUCACCCUGCUGUGUGCAUCUUCAAAAUCUUUAAUCAAAAUACUCAAUUGAACAAAAAAGAAUGGGUGAGUCAGUAUUUUUGUUCCUAGACGCACAUCUACAUGGUACAGUAUGCCAAUCUGGAUGUACAGCCUGAUGUCCAGGCCAGAACACGGACUCAAGAAUAUACACCCUUUUACUGCUCAGAACUGCCAAGAUGUGCCAGCCCUCUCAUACUCUGUUAAAGGAAAUUGUGAGAGUACCAGUGUAGCCUGGAAACAGAAUAUACAAGCACAGUAAAAAGUCGGGGAAAGUAUCACAAGAUAUUAAAGACUGAUGCAUAAAGUUUUUUUUUUUAAAAUCAAGUGAUUUUUAUUGAGUUUUGCGUCACAGAAACAUAACAAAACAUCAACAUUGAAAAUUAACUAUAACAAUAACAAUUGCCAUCAAUAAACAGAUAUUUUCAGAUCACAA